AACACCUGUCUUCCUUUUUGGCUUGUCAGAGGCUGGGUCGUAGCACUUCCUGGCAUUCCCCCAGUUCCGUCCCGGCGUGGUGGUAGAGGCCGUUGAGGGUGUGCUAUGCUCCACGGGUUGCUCGCUGUGGGUCGUUUCUGUGUGGCGUCUGUUCCUCUCUUCCAUGCUGUGUUGUCCAGGACUUCCUGAUUGGGGGAAGUAUAACCCAGCUGCUGCGCAGUGUCGGCCGAUCAGCAAGGGAAAUCACUGCUGCUUUGCUUCGUACCGGAGAUCGUUGGUUGUAACCGCUACUAACUGCUUUGCCUCCUACCGGAAAUUGUUUGGCUGCAACAGCGACUAACGGCUUUGCCUCAUACCGGAGAUUGUUUGGCUGUAACCGCUACUAACUGCUUUGCCUCACACCGGAGAUCGUUGGCUGUAACAGCGACUAACUGCUCUGGCUCAUACCGGAGAUCGUUGGCUGUAACAGCGACUAACUGCUCUGCUUCAUACCGGAGAUCGUUGUUGGUGACAGAGAUUGACCACUUUGACAGUAGCUGAGGUGAACAUGGGUGCCGUGGUGCUCUGGUAUCCAGGUAUGUGUUUUGUCUGUUCUGUCUGUGCGCCAAGGUACGUUGCAGUCAUAGCGGCUGUGAUUAGUUUUGCAGCGUGCGUUGUGGCGGUGGGGCUGUCGUGUCCUGUUGCCUGGGUCCGGUAGGUUGUUGCAAUAUUGUGCUAGCUGGAUCUCUCUGUGGUGACGCUGUUUUCUUUUUGAUCUGCAGCGGUGGUUGUGACGGGAGUGGCUCACCCACCGUUAGCGUGGCCUCCCUUCCCUCCCCUUUUUAUCGGUGCACCGGGAGCUGUGGCCUGGUGGUGGCGGUGGUCCCCAUUUCCUGGUGCUGGGUUUUGUCUUCACAUCCUUAUUUUAUUAGAUUGCAGUGUCACGGUGUGUAGGUUGCUCCCUUUUCUUUUUUUCUUCCCACCUUCAGUACACCACAGCCCUGUUCGCUUUUGGGUUUGAUUCUGCAGGGCCCCAACGUACCUUGUUUGUAAUAGGCAACACGUUAGUGCUUAUGAUCAACUUUUAUUGUGUGCUUGUUUUUUUUCUUUUGUGAUUUAAUAAAAAUUGUUCUUUC
Scatophagus argus is the source of this 1115-nucleotide long non-coding RNA. RefSeq lists it as uncharacterized. The record is from RefSeq and is a predicted model, not a curated record. The transcript is spliced from 4 exons. NCBI's taxonomy places the organism in Eukaryota, Metazoa, Chordata, Actinopteri, Scatophagidae.